RNAcentral lists this ribosomal RNA (417 nucleotides) under uncultured bacterium. Its description in RNAcentral is "bacterial SSU rRNA". It matches the Rfam family "Bacterial small subunit ribosomal RNA", at positions 355 to 786 of the family's 1533-position model. The record is from RNAcentral.
UGGGGAAUAUUGGGCAAUGGGGGAAACCCUGACCCAGCAACGCCGCGUGAAGGAAGAAGGCCUUCGGGUUGUAAACUUCUUUUAGCAGGGACGAAGGACGUGACGGUACCUGCAGAAAAAGCAACGGCUAACUACGUGCCAGCAGCCGCGGUAAUACGUAGGUUGCGAGCGUUGUCCGGAAUUACUGGGUGUAAAGGGCGUGUAGGCGGAGCUGCAAGUCAGAUGUGAAAUGUCAUGGCUCAACCAUGGAACUGCAUUUGAAACUGUGGCUCUUGAGUAUCGGAGAGGCAAGCGGAAUUCCUAGUGUAGCGGUGAAAUGCGUAGAUAUUAGGAGGAACACCAGUGGCGAAGGCGGCUUGCUGGACGACAACUGACGCUGAGGCGCGAAAGCGUGGGGAGCAAACAGGAUUAGAUACC